UUGACCUCGGAUCAGGUGAGGAUACCCGCUGAAUUUAAGCAUAUCAA
RNAcentral lists this ribosomal RNA (47 nucleotides) under Peltigera neckeri. RNAcentral describes it as "partial 28S large subunit ribosomal RNA". RNAcentral also lists the same sequence under 6 other names. The record is from RNAcentral. Lineage: Eukaryota; Fungi; Ascomycota; Lecanoromycetes; Peltigerales; Peltigeraceae.